GACGAACGCUGGCGGCGUGCUUAACACAUGCAAGUCGAGCGGUAAGGCCCUUCGGGGUACACGAGCGGCGAACGGGUGAGUAACACGUGGGUGAUCUGCCUCGUACUUCGGGAUAAGCCUGGGAAACUGGGUCUAAUACCGGAUAUGACCUCAGGAUGCAUGUCUUGUGGUGGAAAGAUUUAUCGGUGCGAGAUGGGCCCGCGGCCUAUCAGCUUGUUGGUGGGGUAAUGGCCUACCAAGGCGACGACGGGUAGCCGACCUGAGAGGGUGACCGGCCACACUGGGACUGAGACACGGCCCAGACUCCUACGGGAGGCAGCAGUGGGGAAUAUUGCACAAUGGGCGGAAGCCUGAUGCAGCGACGCCGCGUGAGGGAUGACGGCCUUCGGGUUGUAAACCUCUUUCGACAGGGACGAAGCGUGAGUGACGGUACCUGUAGAAGAAGCACCGGCCAACUACGUG
Molecule: ribosomal RNA, 462 nt
Filed under: Nocardia vinacea
Lineage: Bacteria; Bacillati; Actinomycetota; Actinomycetes; Mycobacteriales; Nocardiaceae
Description: bacterial SSU rRNA
Rfam family: Bacterial small subunit ribosomal RNA
Source: RNAcentral